Molecule: ribosomal RNA, 497 nt
Filed under: uncultured bacterium
Lineage: Bacteria
Description: partial 16S ribosomal RNA
Rfam family: Bacterial small subunit ribosomal RNA
Source: RNAcentral
GAUGAACGCUGGCGGCGUGCCUAAUACAUGCAAGUCGAGCGAACGGACGAGAAGCUUGCUUCUCUGAUGUUAGCGGCGGACGGGUGAGUAACACGUGGAUAACCUACCUAUAAGACUGGGAUAACUUCGGGAAACCGGAGCUAAUACCGGAUAAUAUUUUGAACCGCAUGGUUCAAAAGUGAAAGACGGUCUUGCUGUCACUUAUAGAUGGAUCCGCGCUGCAUUAGCUAGUUGGUAAGGUAACGGCUUACCAAGGCAACGAUGCAUAGCCGACCUGAGAGGGUGAUCGGCCACACUGGAACUGAGACACGGUCCAGACUCCUACGGGAGGCAGCAGCAGGGAAUCUUCCGCAAAGGGCGAAAGCCUGACGGAGCAACGCCGCGUGAGUGAUGAAGGUCUUCGGAUCGUAAAACUCUGUUAUUAGGGAAGAACAUAUGUGUAAGUAACUGUGCACAUCUUGACGGUACCUAAUCAGAAAGCCACGGCUAACUACGUG